This is a long non-coding RNA of Triticum aestivum (bread wheat), 2783 nucleotides long. RefSeq lists it as uncharacterized. The transcript has 12 exons. The record is from RefSeq and is a predicted model, not a curated record. Lineage: Eukaryota; Viridiplantae; Streptophyta; Magnoliopsida; Poales; Poaceae.
CGCGCGCGCCUCCUCUCCCCUCCCCUCCCACGCGCCUCCCCUCCUCCCACCCACAUCGCCGCUGCCGCCACCCACCGCCUCGAACCGCGCCGUCGGCAGCCAGAUCCCCGCAGUAGAGCCCCCCUUCCAACGACGACGAGCAGCAGCGGAGGGAGGAUGCGAAGCACGACGGUGGCGGCGGCGGGGAGCAGCAGCGGCAGGCCAAGGUGGCACAAUAGCAGGCCUUGGGCGACGGCGACGAGCGACGAGCACGGCGGCGGCGAGCGCUCCGCCAUCUCCAUCGCCACGGCCCGCCCUCCUGUCCGCAUCUCCCGCGGCUGCUCCUCUGGCAGGAGGAGCAGCCCGACGGCUGCCUCCACAGCAGUAGUGGAAUCACAUCCCGCACGCACCGGAAGGCGACCGGAAGGUGGCGAGCGGCAGCCUCACCAUCGACACACUCGCCGCUGACGCCGGCGGCAACGAAGGGAUCCUGGCCGUCCCCGUCUCCUUCACAUCAAAUCCGUCAAGGUCAAGUGGAUUGCAUCACGGCUGGUGUGCGGAUGGGCACGGAGCCACGAACGCACACCUCUACGGCGACGCUGCCGUCUCGGUGCUCCUCGCCUCCCACUCCGACGACGACAACUUCGACGUGCUCAUACACCUCCUCGCCCUCAUCGCGCAGGCGGUCAAGAACGCGGUGGUGCAGUCGCUUGAGCUGAAGACGCUCGUCCUGUCUACCUCUACCUCUGCCUGUUCCACUAUGCCGAGAGGAGAUGAUGAGGGUUCUGAAUUUGAUCACCAUCAGCAUAGCUAGGCAUGGUAGCUGGAUUGAUCAUUGGAUGAAGAGAGUGGAGAUUUAUGCCUAUUGUGGUUGCAGUUCUGUGAAUCAAAGCGCCAUUCUUAAAUGCUAGAUUAAUUUGGUUGUCUCAUCUGUCACCAGAUUCCAGUUUCUAAUUAGCGGUCAAGGAGUGGAUAACUGCACAACUUUGGAAAUGCAUGAGGUAGUGGCUGUUAAAAACAUACUCCCUCCGUUCCUAAAUAUUUGUCUUUUGGGAAUUUCAAAUGGACUACCACAUACAGAUGUAUAUAGACACAUUUUAGAGCGUAGAUUCAUUCAUUUUGCUCCGUAUGUAGUCACUUGUUGAAACCUCUAGAAAGACAAAUAUUUAGGAACGGAGGGAGUAGAUGACUGUAACAAAUAAUGUGUGAGAACAAGGAGCCAAAAAUAUUGGAAAACAACCAUAAGAUAGAUAGUGGAUUCGGUGAUUUGGUUAUUAUGGAGGUUGAUGGAACUUGGUCUACUAUCGGAAUUCUGAGCCAUAAAGCAUUGGACUUGGACAAGCAACAAACAAUCAAAGACGCGUACGUGACUGCUCCAUGGUUCAUAGCUCUUCCAUGGCAGCAACCAGCGGUCCCAAGGCCAAGGACAAUUGUUGUAAGGAAUGUGUUUCCAUGCACCUGCAUCGACCUUUAGGACUGGUGAGAUAUUUGAAGCUCUACGCUUGUGUGCACUAAAAUGGAGAGCAUCUCCUUUUUUUAAUGGUGUGAUCUUGAUUCUUGGAUCAAACUGAUUCACAAGAUGACGAGCGUGGCAAUCUCGGCGGGCUCGCUAAAGUCGGGGGAAGGAGAGAAACAAUGGGGAAGGGAGCAUAACAUGGAUGUGGGGCAGGAGAGGCCGUGGUCGGAGCGGCAUUGCGUGGGCAUAUUGGGUAUUAUUUGAGCUGAUACUCCAUUUUCUUACAAGAGAUGUGGUCCCGUCGAUGUUGGCUGUCGAAUUUGUGCUGCAGUCCAUGCCCACCACGUCCGAGUCUUCACCCCUUCGUCAUCCAACACGAACAGCAGAACAGAGUAGCAGUCGUGAUUUGCCAGGUUGGAGAACUGACGCAGCUUGCUGCCACAGAGUGCUCGCCCUUCUUCUGUGCCAUAAAGCCCCUCGGCCGAAACUUGCAAAUCAAAAUUGCCGACCCUAUCAAUCUCGCUGGAACGACGUCUAGCUCGUUGUGCUCCACUCACUCUAACGGCAUAUCUCAUAACUAAAGCCAUGAACAAGUGCUUCAGUUAUGCUGGUGGCAAUACAUUGCUUGAGGUGACCUCAUGUGCAAGAUUAUCCCCAUGGAGGGAGCUGGCAUGGAGACAUUUGCUCACAUCAGUACUAUGAGCAGCCUGGUUGGGUGGUGACGUUUCCGAGUGGCCAAGCAAGAGCUUUUUUUGGUCUAGACCUAUGCAGUGGUGACUUCUGCUACAAUGUGCAUCAACACCAGAACCAUGUUCCCGAUCAUGGACGCUGUUGUGUCCCUCACCGGCUCUCUCCUUGCCAUCACCGAGAGGGUUGUGCAGGCCACUACUCGCGCAACUACUUUGCAGUGUGGAGCAUGCCAUCGAGAUAGACCAAAAGAAGAACAUCGCCGACAACAACACCAACGGGGGCCUCCUUGGUUGCCACCACCGCCGCUGCCGUCGUCGCCCUCCCUGCCACCCCACACCACACUGCCAGAUAGGUAUGUGUGCUUUUCCCUUGCCCCCUGCUUAUUGCACUCUUGCCUAUAUGUAAUCUCCUAUUCUGUUGUAAAAUUCUUUUUGCUUAUGAUUUCUUAUUGUAGUGUGAAAUUUUAAUUGCUUGGGUUGUUACUGCUAUGAAAAUAUAUUGCUAUAUUUAGGUUUGUUACUUUAGUCUCUCUUCCUCCCUUGUUUUAUACUGGUAUGAAAUUCUAUUUUGCUGCAAGAUCAAAGAGAUUCUUUUUGAACACAAUCUGUGUCGUGAGGACUGAAUUACGUGUAUCUAUGAUAUCUUUUAAUUUUGGUCA